CUCCCCCAAAGCCAGAAAUUCAUUUUGUCCAUGACUUGCCUCCCAUAUCACCAGAGGUAACUAUUUUACUGUAUGAUUUGCCACUGAAUGACACGAGUCAACACCACUCAAGCCUCUGAUACAUGUAUUGCUUCAGGUAUCGUGGGUCAAGGAGGGUCUCUUGGCACUGAGCUUUGCUGCCUUGGAAGACGGUUGAUGCAGGAUCGUGUAACGAUCAAGAGAAUGGAAGACAGGCUGAGUUUGAAUGUCAGCUCCUCCACAUCUGGCGAGAAUUUGUACGAGUUAACCAACCUCUCUGUGUCUAAGUUUCCUCAUCAAUAAAACAGGAAUGAUAAAAUAGAA
Molecule: long non-coding RNA, 342 nt
Filed under: Equus caballus (horse)
Lineage: Eukaryota; Metazoa; Chordata; Mammalia; Perissodactyla; Equidae
Description: lncRNA (ENSECAG00000048775.1)
Source: RNAcentral